UUUUUUGUCAAUUUUUAUCUCCUCUAUUGUUCUUUUUCUCCCAAAGACGAAAUGGAUAAUUCCCCUGCCCCGAGUUCCCUUCUUUGGAUUUACUUCUGAGGCUUGUUCAUCCAUGCUAAGACUAGGCUUACCAAGAGCACAGAUCAACGAGACCAAUAUGUUAUGUGAAUCUGGAUGCAGCACACACUUAAACAGUAGCACUUAGGCUUCUGAGGACUUACCUGGUUACUUACUGAAGGUAAGCAGCAAUUACUGUUAUGCAGCAAUUGGAUUCCUGAGUGCAAGUAAUAAGCUUGAACAGUGUAUAGAACAACCUCUCCUAUUAAGGCUGGAUCUAAAGCUUAUUGAAAUCAGCAGGGAUUUUCUAACUGAGCUUUGACAGACAGUGCUUUUGGCACUUACUGAUACAGAAUUGUGUAUCUGUGCUGCGUGAGGUUGUUUGUUUGGGUUUUGUUGUGUUUUUUUGUUUUUGAUAAGCAUAUGUCACACUAAAGGCACUGAACUAUGCCUGCGUGUCUUUGACAAAGAAGGGUAAUUUAUAAAACUGUUAGUUGCCUAAUAUGGAAG
RNAcentral lists this long non-coding RNA (567 nucleotides) under Struthio camelus australis. RNAcentral describes it as "lncRNA (ENSSCUG00000011513.1)". Lineage: Eukaryota; Metazoa; Chordata; Aves; Struthioniformes; Struthionidae. The record is from RNAcentral.